Molecule: ribosomal RNA, 138 nt
Filed under: uncultured eukaryote
Lineage: Eukaryota
Description: partial 18S ribosomal RNA
Rfam family: Eukaryotic small subunit ribosomal RNA
Source: RNAcentral
UGGGUGGGGUGACUUGUCUGCUUAAUUGCGAUAACGAACGAGACCUUAACCUGCUAAAUAGCCCGCAUUGCUCCGGCAGUGCGCUGGCUUCUUAGAGGGACUUUCGGCUCAAGCCGAAGGAAGUUUGAGGCAAUAACA